This is an RNA transcript of Oncorhynchus tshawytscha (Chinook salmon), 667 nucleotides long. RefSeq lists it as uncharacterized. NCBI's taxonomy places the organism in Eukaryota, Metazoa, Chordata, Actinopteri, Salmoniformes, Salmonidae. The transcript has 4 exons. The record is from RefSeq and is a predicted model, not a curated record.
AAAAAAAAGCGGGGCUGGGAGCUCUCUGUACAAACAACACGCCGGAGAGUGAUCAGCCAUGUCAUAAGACAACACUGAAAUCAGACUGAAUCUGUCAUCGGUUCAUAAAUUCAAUCUUUGUCAUUUUUUUCCCCCAGGACUGACCGACACGUAUAUCCACGAAGCCGUGCAUGAACUGGAAAACACUGACGUUUAGCCGAAUAGCUCAUUCAAGACAAAAGCUCCAGCAGGACAGAUAGUAUGCUGAGUAAAGCGGCCACUAUGGAGAUCCCUAUCAACCGUAACGGAGACACGAGGACGCUGGCGGAGGAUGACAGCCUUGAACAAGUUGCUAAGCUACAGUGGAGCUUAGAUGAGAAGGGGCACACGUGCUCCUUGUAAAAAAACAAAACAAGAAGAAAACAAAAAAGACCCACUUUAUUACAGAAUCCUGUGAAAACAAAUCGUAUUUUAGGCUAAAAGAGGGCGACGCCAUAGAGAAUGAUAGAGCACUCUUCUUUGUAUCCGUCCCAUUAUGGUGUCUGUUAGAGCACAGGCAGGGCCAUUUGAGGUCAACUCCAUUUUGAAGUAGUCACUUUUUGUUCUUCUACUAUUUCUAUGAGUUGGUAAACAAACUGAAAAUGUGCGUACUGCCCCCUGGAGGGUGUUGUCUGAACAGGUAUAAAGG